Molecule: ribosomal RNA, 296 nt
Filed under: uncultured bacterium
Lineage: Bacteria
Description: partial 16S ribosomal RNA
Rfam family: Bacterial small subunit ribosomal RNA
Source: RNAcentral
CUCUUGGGUUGUAAACCCCUUUUCUCUGGGAAGAAAGUUGUGAAAGCAACCUGACGGUACCAGAGGAAUCAGCAUCGGCUAACUCCGUGCCAGCAGCCGCGGUAAGACGGAGGGUGCAAGCGUUAUCCGGAAUGAUUGGGCGUAAAGCGUCCGCAGGUGGCAGUUCAAGUCUGCUGUCAAAGACCGGGGCUUAACUUCGGAAAGGCAGUGGAAACUGAACAGCUAGAGUAUGGUAGGGGCAGAGGGAAUUCCUGGUGUAGCGGUGAAAUGCGUAGAGAUCAGGAAGAACAUCGGUG